Pelobates cultripes (western spadefoot toad) is the source of this 398-nucleotide non-coding RNA. The record is from the annotation of a GenBank genome assembly. Lineage: Eukaryota; Metazoa; Chordata; Amphibia; Anura; Pelobatidae.
CCCUUUUCCAGCACUGCGGCUUCCUCAGCGCUACUAACCUCUCCACCUCCUGUGACAGAGGAGGCAUGGCCUGCUCUGUGAUGGUCCAGUCUAUUGUUUCUUAAAGUGUCAUUGGGCACGUCAUGUGCAAUGCACACUGUCAAGCUUCCCCAUAGGUAUUCAAUGCUUUACCUUGGGUUUAUGUAUCACGCGAUAAAAGUUUUACUCAGAGAAAGCAUUAGAAUCAUCUCUAGUGCUGGUCAGUAUGAUAGCCAUACUUUAAAUUAUAGGGUUAAGAGGACAGGAAAACAACAACAACAACAACUGAAUCACUCAAUUGAGAUUAAGUGUUCUAGGUAACUAUAAUGUUCUUUUAAAUAAGUUUUGUCUUUUUAUGCAGCCCUAGCCACACCUCUCAC